AAUGGGUUCGGAGUUAAACUUGUUAAUUGAAUUUGCAAAGUCUAUGAAUAUGAAUGUUAGCAUUUAUUUUGAUUGGUAUAAAGCACCAAGGAUUAAUAUUGGAAUGUUGGAUAUAGAAAGAUUUGUCAUUUCUUAUCCGGUAUCCCAAAUGGAUCUGAAGUUCUUGGUACCCAAACCAAAAUCCUAUAUUGAUUGGUUGAAACUGGCACAUGUUUUCGACCUACAACUGUGGAUGUUAAUUAUAUCCUGCUAUAUGCUCACU
This is a long non-coding RNA of Dalotia coriaria, 262 nucleotides long. RefSeq lists it as uncharacterized. The transcript has 3 exons. Lineage: Eukaryota; Metazoa; Arthropoda; Insecta; Coleoptera; Staphylinidae. The record is from RefSeq and is a predicted model, not a curated record.